GCUUCAUCAUCAGUCAUGUUCUCUGCAGCUCUGAUUCUGCUGCUGACCGCUGGAUCCUGUGUGCACUGUAUUGAUCUCAUCACACCAGGCUCAAUGGUCGUGCAGCCUGGACAGUCUCUGACCCUCACCUGUCAGGUCUCUGGUUACUCUCUGACUGAUAACAGCUAUGCAACAGGUUGGAUCAGACAGCCUGCAGGGAAAGGACUGGAGUGGAUUGGAAUAAGAUACACUGGAGGCACUUACUACAAAGAUUCACUGAAGAACCAGUUCAGUAUCGACUUAGACGCCUCUAACAACAGGGUGACCCUAAACGGACUGAAUAUGCAGCCUGCAGACACUGCAGUGUAUUACUGUGCCAGAGAGCCACAGUGA
Non-coding RNA from Labrus bergylta (ballan wrasse), 372 nucleotides. The record is from the annotation of a RefSeq genome assembly. Lineage: Eukaryota; Metazoa; Chordata; Actinopteri; Labriformes; Labridae.